Molecule: long non-coding RNA, 185 nt
Organism: Ostrinia nubilalis (European corn borer)
Lineage: Eukaryota; Metazoa; Arthropoda; Insecta; Lepidoptera; Crambidae
Exons: 3
Source: RefSeq, a predicted model, not a curated record
GGGUGUUUGGUAGAAGGUCUGAGGCAAGAUGCGGUUUCUGGUCGUAAAUCUAGUGACAUCAUGUUUUAUUUUAACAGCAGCCACUAAAGAUGGAAAGUUGGACAAGCUUCAAAAUUUGUUCGGCGGCGGCGGUGGCGGCGGCGGAAUUGGUGGUAUGGGCGCUGUAAAUUGCUAUGGAACUUGUU